This 484-nucleotide ribosomal RNA is filed under the name uncultured bacterium. Its description in RNAcentral is "partial 16S ribosomal RNA". It matches the Rfam family "Bacterial small subunit ribosomal RNA", at positions 29 to 507 of the family's 1533-position model. The record is from RNAcentral.
AUUGAACGCUGGCGGCAGGCCUAACACAUGCAAGUCGAGCGGAUGAAGGGAGCUUGCUCCUGGAUUCAGCGGCGGACGGGUGAGUAAUGCCUAGGAAUCUGCCUGGUAGUGGGGGAUAACGUCCGGAAACGGGCGCUAAUACCGCAUACGUCCUGGGGGAGAAAGUGGGGGAUCUUCGGACCUCACGCUAUCAGAUGAGCCUAGGUCGGAUUAGCUAGUUGGUGGGGUAAAGGCCUACCAAGGCGACGAUCCGUAACUGGUCUGAGAGGGUGAUCAGUCAAACUGGAAAUGGAAAACGGUCCCAAACCCCAAGGGGGGGCAGGGGGGGGAAAUUUUGGAAAUGGGGGAAAGCCUUACCCAGCACCGCCGGGGUGUGGAAAAAGGGCUUUGGGUGUGAAAAGCCUUUUAAUGGGGAAGGAGGGGCGGGAAGGUAAAUCUUCGCUUUUUGACGGUUCCCAACAAAAAAGGCACGGCUAACUUCGUG